RNAcentral lists this unclassified non-coding RNA (324 nucleotides) under Hevea brasiliensis (rubber tree). The record is from RNAcentral. Lineage: Eukaryota; Viridiplantae; Streptophyta; Magnoliopsida; Malpighiales; Euphorbiaceae.
AUAUCUUCAAGACAAAAUAAUUUCAUCACUAACACUUGCAUCAGACAACAUGCUAGAUUUAACAUGCUUGUGUUAUGGAAUUUUGUUGUGUCAUGCUGGUAGUCUUGAUGAAGCAAAGAAUAUAACAGAAGCAAUGCCUUAUGAAUUCUUUAAUUUGGAGAUCGACACUUUAUUCUUGUGCAAUUAACGAAGACCUGAAACUGACACAGAGAGAGAAGCAGAGGGAUUAAUGGACUCGGAAGUGUUGAAUCGGUGACUUGAAUUCUUAACUAUUAAGAAUUUUAUUUCUUAAUCUUGAAGGACGUGAGAAGUUGAAGCCAGCUG